ACAAAGGAUUCUAUUUAGAAUCCACAUGCAUACAAAAAAAAAAGAUG
This is a non-coding RNA of Picea glauca (white spruce), 47 nucleotides long. NCBI's taxonomy places the organism in Eukaryota, Viridiplantae, Streptophyta, Pinopsida, Pinales, Pinaceae. The record is from Rfam.